CAGGGAGUGAGUAGGCUCCUAUGGAGGACCCUGGACUAGGGUCUGGAGGAGGCUGGGUACUCCAGGGGAACCAAACAAGAAGUCCAGUGCUCCAUAGCAGAAUCAAAGUCUCUCACAGGUACCCUGGAGAAGGGAAGAAAAACUGCUAGCUGAUGACAGCCCUGAAACAGAAACAUUUGAGAAGGCUUCUUUAUCUGCAGGAUGAUCUACAAACAGCCAAGAUUGAACGCUGUUGGUUCAGCUGCUGUCAAGUAAUUCACACUCAAAAUAGAUGUUGGAAUAUGUGUUUUUGUUUUUCAAGAGACAGUACUAAAAAACAGCUAUAGAAUUUAUGGAAAUAACACACAAACUCACCUCUGGGCUGAGAUCAAGCAUGGAAAAUGUCAGCCGUAUUGGAAUUUGUUUACUGAAGUUAUGGGCAAUUUAAAAAGGGAAGUUAUGAUGGCAGAAGCAUUUCAGUCUUAACUAAACUGGUUACUACUGUUACAUGUUACUGUUACACUGCAUGCACACAUACUUACAAGUUUAUAUAUACUGGUAAUAAACAUAUAUUACGUGUG
Long non-coding RNA from Mauremys reevesii (Reeves's turtle), 560 nucleotides. RefSeq lists it as uncharacterized. NCBI's taxonomy places the organism in Eukaryota, Metazoa, Chordata, Testudines, Geoemydidae. The record is from RefSeq and is a predicted model, not a curated record. The transcript has 3 exons.